CUCUUACCAUGCAGUCGACGGGCUCUUCGGAGCUAGUGGCGGACGGGUGAGUAACGCGUGAGGAUCUGCCCUUAGGACGGGGACAACAGCUGGAAACGGCUGCUAAUACCCGAUGUGCCGAGAGGUGAAACUAUUUGGCCUGAGGAUGAGCUCGCGUCUGAUUAGCUAGUUGGAGUGGUAACGGCACACCAAGGCGACGAUCAGUAGCUGGUCUGAGAGGAUGAUCAGCCACACUGGGACUGAGACACGGCCCAGACUCCUACGGGAGGCAGCAGUGGGGAAUUUUCCGCAAUGGGCGAAAGCCUGACGGAGCAAGACCGCGUGCGGGAGGAAGGUCUAUUGACUGUAAACCGCUUUUGAUAGGGAAGAAGAUCUGACGGUACCUAUCGAAUCAGCAUCGGCUAACUCCGUGCCAGCAGCCGCGGUAAUACGGGGGAUGCAAGCGUUAUCCGGAAUUAUUGGGCGUAAAGCGUCCGUAGGUGGUUUUAAAAGUCUGUUGUUAAAGCGCGAGGCUUAACCUCGUAUAGGCAGUGGAAACUAUAAGACUAGAGUGCGGUAGGGGUAGAGGGAAUUUCCAGUGUAGCGGUGAAAUGCGUAGAUAUUGGAAAGAACACCGGUGGCGAAGGCGCUCUACUGGGCCUGCACUGACACUGAGGGACGAAAGCUAGGGGAGCGAAAGGGAUUAGAUACCCCUGUAGUCCUAGCCGUAAACGAUGGAAACUAGGUGUUGCCCGUAUCGACCCGGGCAGUGCCGUAGCCAACGCGUUAAGUUUCCCGCUGGGGGAGUACCGCCUCCGCAAGAAUGAACUCAAGAUUGACGGGGGCCGCACCAGCGG
Molecule: ribosomal RNA, 836 nt
Filed under: uncultured cyanobacterium
Lineage: Bacteria; Bacillati; Cyanobacteriota
Description: bacterial SSU rRNA
Rfam family: Bacterial small subunit ribosomal RNA
Source: RNAcentral